RNAcentral lists this non-coding RNA (25 nucleotides) under Rattus norvegicus (Norway rat). Lineage: Eukaryota; Metazoa; Chordata; Mammalia; Rodentia; Muridae. The record is from RNAcentral.
UUAAGAGAUGGAGGCCCUUCUUUUU